This 424-nucleotide long non-coding RNA is filed under the name Dermacentor andersoni. Its description in RNAcentral is "uncharacterized LOC126537501". The record is from RNAcentral. Lineage: Eukaryota; Metazoa; Arthropoda; Arachnida; Ixodida; Ixodidae.
GAAUACGGACUACAAAGUUUACACUAAAGUACUGGUGCGACGAUUGCAGACCGUUAUAAAAGAACUUGUGGGCCCCCAUCAGACAUGCGGAAUCAAAGGCAGAUCGAUCUUUUCGAAUAUACAUACUGCAAGGACCAUACUGGAAUGCUGCGAUGAAAGAGAGGACAAAGUCGCUAUGAUACAAAUUGACCUUGAAAAGGCUUUUGACAGACCGGUGCAGUGAUAACAGAUGGAGUAAGAAUGGUGUACAAAGAUUGCACUGCAAAGUUAGUAAUUAAUAGGAAAUUAGGCGCCAGUAUAAAAGUGGAGUCAUCAGUAAAACAAGGAUGCUAUUUGUCACCUCUUUUAUUUGCCUUGUAUUUGGAGCCUUUCUGUUUGAAAAUAAUUAAAAGCCAAUCUAUUCGUGGGUUUAUCUACGCAGGAA